GUGAAUCAUCGAAUCUUUGAACGCAAAUUGCGCCUUUUUCGGAAGGCAUGUCUGUUUGAGGGCACCAUUUAACAAAUAAUGUGCAUUUCGUGUGCACACGUUGAUGAGCUUUCCAAGAAUUUUAAAUUUUUGGUGGCGCAUAAUGAACAGCGUGAAAGUUUUUUUCAGUUCGAGUAUAGUAAAAUUUUUUCUUGCUUGGGUUGUGAAAAGCGUGAUCGCGCAAUGGGUGUGGCAAUUUUAGUUAAUCCCUGCCCCAACGCCACUCUUUCUCGCGAAAGAUUUAAUCUUCAGGGCCUCAAAU
Molecule: unclassified non-coding RNA, 301 nt
Filed under: Paraglomerales sp.
Lineage: Eukaryota; Fungi; Glomeromycota; Glomeromycetes; Paraglomerales
Description: partial contains 5.8S ribosomal RNA and internal transcribed spacer 2
Rfam family: 5.8S ribosomal RNA (bases 1-65)
Source: RNAcentral